UACAGAGGUCUCAAGCGUUGUUCGGAUUCAUUGGGCGUAAAGGGUGUGUAGGUGGCGCGCUAAGUCGGGUGUGAAAUUUCGGAGCUUAACUCCGAAACUGCAUUCGAUACUGGCGUGCUUGAGGACUGGAGAGGAGACUGGAAUUUACGGUGUAGCAGUGAAAUGCGUAGAUAUCGUAAGGAAGACCAGUUGCGAAGGCGGGUCUCUGGACAGUUCCUGACACUGAGACACGAAGGCCAGGGGAGCAAACGGG
RNAcentral lists this ribosomal RNA (253 nucleotides) under uncultured bacterium. RNAcentral's name for it is "partial 16S ribosomal RNA". It matches the Rfam family "Bacterial small subunit ribosomal RNA", at positions 524 to 776 of the family's 1533-position model. The record is from RNAcentral.